This 412-nucleotide unclassified non-coding RNA is filed under the name uncultured Inocybe. Its description in RNAcentral is "sequence contains ITS2". The stretch from base 1 to 154 matches the Rfam family "5.8S ribosomal RNA". Lineage: Eukaryota; Fungi; Basidiomycota; Agaricomycetes; Agaricales; Cortinariaceae. The record is from RNAcentral.
AACUUCCUGCAAGGUAUCACUUGGCUCUCGCAUCGUUUAAGAACGCAGCGAAAUGCGAUAAGUAAUGUGAAUUGCAGAAUUCAGUGAAUCAUCGAAUCUUUGAACGCAUCUUGCGCUCGUUGGUAUUCCGAGGAGCAUGCCUGUUUGAGUGUCAUUUGACCUUCUCAACCACAUCGUUUGUGUUGUGUGGCUUGGAUGUGGGGGUUUGCAGGCUUUCAACCAAAAGCCGGCUCCUCUGAAAUGCAUUAGUGGUGUCUGGGCUGCUAUUGGUGUGAUUAAAUAUUAUAUCUAUGCCUUUGGUGAUGCUGGUCAGCACUGCUUACAAACGGAUGGUGAAUCAUCAUUUGACAAAUUUGACCUCAAAUCAGGUAGGACUACCCGCUGAACUUAAGCAUAUCAAUAAGCGGAGGCU